GCGAGCACCACGCGUCUCCACCGCCGCGCUGUUCUGCGGGUUCUGGAGGAGGUCGCUCCGGUACAAGGUGACUUCUGAAAGGCUUCCUCUUUACCUUUACACAGCACAAAUGCUAGAAGAGGCAAUAAUCCCAGUCGCGACAGGACGCACAUUGUGAGUGUCGGUUUCUUCACGUUUCUGCGCACCUGGCCGCUCAAGCGCGCAGGCUGCACGCCGAGGAAAACAUUCGAGUUAGUGCCCUGUCCACUUCCACACCUGCCGCCACACUUGUCCCGUUUAACCUAAGCUUACGAUCCUCCAAGAGCAAUGUGGAGAAGCUUUCUGACCCCCUCUGCAACCCAGCUGCUCUUCCUGUGCGCCUGAGUGGAAAGGUAGCCGCCGUGUCCCGAGGAGGAUGCCGAACAGAUACUGGACCUGCAUGUGUGCAUAAAGAAGUAUCCAAGUGCAAAACACCACCUGUGGCAGUCAUGAGGAAUAGGGGCAAUUACUCCUGGGCAUACCAUCCAGCCUCAGCCACACCUCUCCUGAAAACACAUAUUCCAUUAAAUAACAUCUCUCAUAUUUUACUACUCCUAUACUGCAUAUAAAUACACAUAACUACCCAAAUUACCUAAUAAUGACCUGAAAUACCCAUAAAACAAUGUACAAAAUAGUACACCCAGUUCCCCUCACACUUGGUCUCAACCCAUGACAUUACCAAUGACAUCACUGGCCACUUCCUCCUUUUGAUUUCUGCCACGUGAGGUAAGUAUGUUAAGUAUGAAAAACAGCAGUAAAAUUCAAAUAAACAGUAUAUCACCCAACAAUGAUCUAUGUAUGUAAC
Molecule: long non-coding RNA, 823 nt
Filed under: Mastacembelus armatus (zig-zag eel)
Lineage: Eukaryota; Metazoa; Chordata; Actinopteri; Synbranchiformes; Mastacembelidae
Description: lncRNA (ENSMAMG00000025319.1)
Source: RNAcentral